Molecule: ribosomal RNA, 781 nt
Filed under: uncultured Neocallimastigales
Lineage: Eukaryota; Fungi; Neocallimastigomycota; Neocallimastigomycetes; Neocallimastigales
Description: partial large subunit ribosomal RNA
Rfam family: Eukaryotic large subunit ribosomal RNA
Source: RNAcentral
GAGACUCUGUGCGCGUGCAUAUCAAUAAGCGGAGGAAAAGAAACUAACAAGGAUUCCCUUAGUAACGGCGAGUGAAGCGGGAAGAGCUCAAAUUUGAAAUCUUCAAGGUUUGACCUUGACGAAUUGUAGUUUAAAGAAGUGUUUUCGGUUAGAGGAGUAGUAAAAGUUCUUUGGAAUAGGACAUCAUAGAGGGUGAGAAUCCCGUAUUUGACCAUUAUUUUCAGCUGUGUGAUACACUUUCAAAGAGUCGGAUUGUUUGGGAAUGCAGUCCAAAAUGGGUGGUAAAUUUCAUCUAAAGCUAAAUAUUGGCGAGAGACCGAUAGCGAACAAGUACCGUGAGGGAAAGAUGAAAAGAACUUUGAAAAGAGAGUUAAACAGUACGUGAAAUUGUCAAAAGGGAAGCGUUUGACACCAGUGUUGUUUUCUCGAAAAUCAAUUAAAAAUGGCCGGAUUUUGUGUUGUAUUGACCUUUAUAAGCUUUCUUCACUCUUUUCUUGUCUUUUUUAAUGCACUUUUCGUUUAACAAGUCAACAUCAGUUUCUUUUGUUGUAAAAGAGGUCAUUGGAAGGUGGCUUUCAUUUCGGAUGAAAGUGUUUAUAGCCUUUGAUCUUCUGCAAUCGGAGAGAUUGAGGUCUGCAGCGUAGACUCCUUCGGGGUUAGAUACAUUUGUGCUAAGUUAUAGCUUUUCAUAGACAACUUGUUGACUAUAUUUAGUCUUGUAGGCUUACUCGCUUACUGCUAUUUUACCUACGCUUAGGAUGUUGAUCUGUAGUGCGUGCGC